UCACUUUUUUUCUCACCGCUAAAAGCUCAAUGAGCUUCGAAUCCCCCAAUCCCUUUCACUUUCACUUUCUUCUCUCUGGCUGAUCCCGUCGCGGGUUCUUCAUCGUUGUCUCUGUCGAUGUAGAUCUAAUCGUCAUCACGAGGGAUCUCAUCGACAAGGCGCACAAGUGGACCAAAGUCCAGCGCCCCCUCUCAUCCUCGACACUGAUAUCCAGGCUCGGUAGUGAUAAAGAUCCCGAGAUAUUUGUUCUAGAAGAUAAAACCCUUAUAUUUAAAAGCAAUGGCUGGACGUAGAAACAACAAUGGGAAAAGAUCUUAUUCUCACUUUGAUCAUUCCUGGGCCUGAGGACACUAUUUUUCGUUGUUUAUGCCCAGGAAAGAAGAUAGGGAGCAUCAUUGGGAGGGGUGGUGAGAUUGUGAAGGAAUUGAGAUCUAAAACCAUUUUGCAAAUUACUGUAUGUGGUUGUGAUGAGCAUGUCAUAACCAUUUUGCAAAUUACUAGUUUUGUUGUUGACAAUAUAGCUAAAUUAAUUUAUUAUAACGUACUAUUUUCUACUAA
This is a long non-coding RNA of Zingiber officinale, 558 nucleotides long. RefSeq lists it as uncharacterized. NCBI's taxonomy places the organism in Eukaryota, Viridiplantae, Streptophyta, Magnoliopsida, Zingiberales, Zingiberaceae. The record is from RefSeq and is a predicted model, not a curated record. The transcript has 2 exons.